CAGAGGUGGCAAGCGUUGUUCGGAAUUACUGGGCGUAAAGGGCGCGUAGGCGGUCUUGCAAGUCCCGUGUGAAAUCCCUCGGCUCAACUGAGGAACUGCACGGGAAACUGCUUGGCUUGAGUUCGGGAGAGGGAAGCGGAAUUCCGGGUGUAGCGGUGAAAUGCGUAGAUAUCCGGAGGAACACCGGUGGCGAAGGCGGCUUCCUGGACCGACACUGACGCUGAGGCGCGAAAGCUAGGGGAGCAAACGGGAUUAGAUACCCCGGUAGUCCUAGCUGUAAACGAUGAGUGCUGGGUGUAGAGGGUAUUAACCCCUUCUGUGCCGAAGCUAACGCAUUAAGCACUCCGCCUGGGGAGUACGGUCGCAAGGCUG
RNAcentral lists this ribosomal RNA (372 nucleotides) under uncultured organism. Its description in RNAcentral is "bacterial SSU rRNA". It matches the Rfam family "Bacterial small subunit ribosomal RNA", at positions 526 to 896 of the family's 1533-position model. The record is from RNAcentral.